GGCAAAUUCUGCCUCCUGAGCUUAUUUGGAGAACUAGUACAUGGAAUGGAAAAGAGGUAUUCACAGUGUUUGAAGAUCAUCUACUUAGUCUUCUUGCAUGCAACGAAAGAGCUAUUAUUUGAUCUAUAGUGCAGUGGAAAUGCAAAGUGACAAAUGGGUUUACCACUGUAUGGCAAUGAGUCAAGGAGGAGAGAAGCCAACUAGCCUAGAUGUUAAUGACAAGGCUAUCAAUUAUAGGGUUGGAAAUGGGCAGAUUGCCUGGAGCCAUUCUCUGAUCCUGCUUCUUCAAAACAUGCAGCUAAACCCAAGUAAGGACACUACAAACUUGAAGAUAAAGAGGAGUCUCAAGACCAGGAACUACUACGAAUGUCAUGAUUUACAGUUUGAUGCUUUUCUAUAGAGCACUCACGGAGAUGGAUGAACAUCCUUAUAUCUAUUGAUGCUUUAUAAGAACAGCUGGAUCAUAUUUAAAAGUAUACUUCCAAUUUAAUGAA
Long non-coding RNA from Pantherophis guttatus, 494 nucleotides. RefSeq lists it as uncharacterized. Lineage: Eukaryota; Metazoa; Chordata; Lepidosauria; Squamata; Colubridae. The record is from RefSeq and is a predicted model, not a curated record.